UACGGGGGGAGCAAGCGUUGUUCGGAUUUACUGGGCGUAAAGGGCGCGUAGGCGGCCAGCGCAAGUCAGUUGUGAAAUCUCCGGGCUUAACUCGGAACGGUCAACUGAUACUGCGCGGCUAGAGUGCAGAAGGGGCAACUGGAAUUCCCGGUGUAGUGGUGAUAUGCGUAGAUAUCGGGAGGAACACCAGUGGCGAAGGCGGCUCUCUGGGCCUUUCCUGACGCUGAGACGCGAAAGCGUGGGGAGCGAACCGG
RNAcentral lists this ribosomal RNA (254 nucleotides) under uncultured bacterium. Its description in RNAcentral is "partial 16S ribosomal RNA". It matches the Rfam family "Bacterial small subunit ribosomal RNA", at positions 524 to 776 of the family's 1533-position model. The record is from RNAcentral.